UAAAGAAAGCGUAAUAGCUCACUGGUCGAGUCGGCCUGCGCGGAAGAUGUAACGGGGCUAAACCAUGCACCGAAGCUGCGGCAGCGACACUAUGUGUUGUUGGGUAGGGGAGCGUUCUGUAAGCCGUUGAAGGUGUGCUGUGAGGCAUGCUGGAGGUAUCAGAAGUGCGAAUGCUGACAUAAGUAACGAUAAAGCGGGUGAAAAGCCCGCUCGCCGGAAGACCAAGGGUUCCUGUUCAACGUUAAUCGGAGCAGG
This 255-nucleotide ribosomal RNA is filed under the name Pantoea sp. PNT01. RNAcentral describes it as "partial 23S ribosomal RNA". It matches the Rfam family "Bacterial large subunit ribosomal RNA", at positions 1124 to 1378 of the family's 2925-position model. Lineage: Bacteria; Pseudomonadati; Pseudomonadota; Gammaproteobacteria; Enterobacterales; Erwiniaceae. The record is from RNAcentral.